GAUGAAGAACGUAGCGAAAUGCGAUAAGUAGUGUGAAUUGCAGAAUUCAGUGAAUCAUCGAAUCUUUGAACGCACAUUGCGCCCCAUGGUAUUCCGUGGGGCAUGCCUGUUCGAGCGCCAUUUACCCCCUCAAGCUCCGCUUGGUGUUGGGCGUCUGUCCCGCUUCGCGCGCGGACUCGCCCCAAAGGUAUUGGCAGCGGUCGUGCCAGCUUCUCGCGCAGCACAUUGCGCUUCUCGAGGCACCGGUGGGCCCGCGUCCAUCAAGCUCACCCCCCCAGUUUGACCUCGGAUCAGGUAGGGAUACCCGCUGAACUUAAGCAUAUCAAUAAGCGGAGGA
Molecule: unclassified non-coding RNA, 337 nt
Filed under: soil metagenome
Description: partial contains 5.8S ribosomal RNA, internal transcribed spacer 2, and large subunit ribosomal RNA
Rfam family: 5.8S ribosomal RNA (bases 1-120)
Source: RNAcentral